UACGGGCCGCAGCAGGCGCGAAACCUCUGCAAUAGGCGAAAGCCUGACAGGGUUACUCUGAGUGAUUUCCGCUAAGGGGAUCUUUUGGCACCUCUAAAAAUGGUGCAGAAUAAGGGGUGGGCAAGUCUGGUGUCAGCCGCCGCGGUAAUACCAGCACCCCGAGUGGUCGGGACGAUUAUUGGGCCUAAAGCAUCCGUAGCCGGUUCUGCAAGUCUUCCGUUAAAUCCAGCCGCUCAACGGAUGGGCCGCGGAGGAUACUACAGGACUAGGAGGCGGGAGAGGCAAGCGGUACUCAGUGGGUAGGGGUAAAAUCCUUUGAUCCAUUGAAGACCACCAGUGGCGAAGGCGGCUUGCCAGAACGCGCUCGACGGUGAGGGAUGAAAGCUGGGGGAGCAAACCGGAUUAGAUACCCGGGUAGUCCCAGCUGUAAACGAUGCAGACUCGGUGAUGGGCUAGCCUUGUGCCAGCCCAGUGCCGCAGGGAAGCCGUUAAGUCUGC
RNAcentral lists this ribosomal RNA (498 nucleotides) under uncultured crenarchaeote. RNAcentral describes it as "bacterial SSU rRNA". It matches the Rfam family "Archaeal small subunit ribosomal RNA", at positions 324 to 824 of the family's 1478-position model. The record is from RNAcentral. Lineage: Archaea; Thermoproteati; Thermoproteota.